GUUAUAUGGUCAAGCGAAUAAGCGCACACGGUGGAUGCCUAGGCGGUCAGAGGCGAUGAAGGACGUGGUAGCCUGCGAAAAGUGUCGGGGAGCUGGCAACAAGCUUUGAUCCGGCAAUGUCCGAAUGGGGAAACCCACUGCUUCGGCAGUAUCCUGCAGUGAAUUCAUAGCUGCUGGAAGCGAACCCGGUGAACUGAAAUAUCUAAGUAACCGGAGGAAAAGAAAUCAACCGAGAUUCCCUGAGUAGUGACGAGCGAACGGGGAACAGCCCUUAAGCUGGAAUGGCUUUAGAAAAACAAUCUGGAAAGAUUGGCCAUAGAAGGUGAUAGCCCUGUAUUUAAAAGGGCCACUCCAGUGAAGACGAGUAGGGCGGGGCACGUGAAACCCUGUCUGAAUAUGGGGGGACCAUCCUCCAAGGCUAAAUACUCCUGACCGACCGAUAGUGAACCAGUACCGUGAGGGAAAGGCGAAAAGAACCCCGGAGAGGGGAGUGAAAUAGAUCCUGAAACCGUGUGCGUACAAGCAGUAGGAGCUCGCAAGAGUGACUGCGUACCUUUUGUAUAAUGGGUCAGCGACUUACUGUUCGUGGCAAGCUUAACCGUAUAGGGGAGGCGAAGGGAAACCGAGUCUGAUAAGGGCGCAUAGUCGCGGGCAGUAGACCCGAAACCGGGUGAUCUAGUCAUGGCCAGGGUGAAGGUGCCGUAACAGGUACUGGAGGCCCGAACCCACGUCUGUUGCAAAAGACGGGGAUGAGCUGUGAUUAGGAGUGAAAAGCUAAUCGAACCCGGAGAUAGCUGGUUCUCCUCGAAAGCUAUUUAGGUAGCGCCUCGGACGAAUACUACUGGGGGUAGAGCACUGUUAUGGCUAGGGGGUCAUCGCGACUUACCAAACCAUUGCAAACUCCGAAUACCAGUACGUACUAUCCGGGAGACACACGGCGGGUGCUAACGUCCGUCGUGAAAAGGGAAACAACCCAGACCCACAGCUAAGGUCCCAAAUUCACUGCUAAGUGGAAAACGAUGUGGAAAGGCACAGACAGCCAGGAGGUUGGCUUAGAAGCAGCCACCCUUUAAAGAAAGCGUAAUAGCUCACUGGUCGAGUCGGUCUGCGCGGAAGAUUUAACGGGGCUAAGCAGUGAACCGAAGCUUGGGGUGCGUAAAACUUCGGUUUUAUGCGCGGUAGAGGAGCGUUCCGUAAGCCUGCGAAGGUGGAUUGAGAAGUCUGCUGGAGGUAUCGGAAGUGCGAAUGCUGACAUGAGUAACGAUAAUGCGGGUGAAAAGCCCGCACGCCGAAAGCCCAAGGUUUCCUUGCGCAACGUUAAUCGACGCAGGGUUAGUCGGUCCCUAAGGCGAGGGCGAAAGCCGUAGUCGAUGGGAAGCAGGUUAAUAUUCCUGCACCUCGCGUGAGUGCGAUGGAGGGACGGAGAAGGUUAGGUGUACCGGGCGUUGGUUGUCCCGGGGAAAGGCGGUAGGUUUGAAUCUUUGGCAAAUCCGGGAUUCUUUAAGACCGAGCACCGAGACGAGCCUUUAUGGCGAAGUCACUGAUACCACGCUUCCAGGAAAAGCUCCUAAGCUUCAGCUCACGAAGACCGUACCGUAAACCGACACAGGUGGGUAGGAUGAGAAUUCUCAGGCGCUUGAGAGAACUCGGGUGAAGGAACUAGGCAACAUGGCACCGUAACUUCGGGAGAAGGUGCACCCUUUUUGGUGGCUCAUGCGAGCUAUAGCUGAAGAGGGUCGCAGAAACCAGGCCGCUGCGACUGUUUAUCAAAAACACAGCACUCUGCAAACACGAAAGUGGACGUAUAGGGUGUGACGCCUGCCCGGUGCUGGAAGGUUAAUUGAUGGGGUCAGCCGCAAGGCGAAGCUCUUGAUCGAAGCCCCAGUAAACGGCGGCCGUAACUAUAACGGUCCUAAGGUAGCGAAAUUCCUUGUCGGGUAAGUUCCGACCUGCACGAAUGGCGUAACGACAGCGGCGCUGUCUCCACCCGAGACUCAGUGAAAUUGAAAUCGCUGUGAAGAUGCAGCGUUCCCGUGGCAAGACGGAAAGACCCCGUGAACCUUUACUAUAGCUUUACACUGAACGUUGAGUUCGUCUGUGUAGGAUAGGUGGGAGGCUAUGAAACUGUGGCGCUAGCUGCAGUGGAGCCAUCCUUGAAAUACCACCCUGUCGUGCUUGACGUUCUAACCUAGAUCCGUUACCCGGAUCAGGGACCGUGUAUGGUGGGUAGUUUGACUGGGGCGGUCUCCUCCUAAAGAGUAACGGAGGAGCACGAAGGUACGCUCAGCGCGGUCGGACAUCGCGCACUGUGUGCAAAGGCAUAAGCGUGCUUGACUGCAAGAUCGACGGAUCAAGCAGGUACGAAAGUAGGUCUUAGUGAUCCGGUGGUUCUGUAUGGAAGGGCCAUCGCUCAACGGAUAAAAGGUACUCCGGGGAUAACAGGCUGAUACCGCCCAAGAGUUCAUAUCGACGGCGGUGUUUGGCACCUCGAUGUCGGCUCAUCACAUCCUGGGGCUGUAGUCGGUCCCAAGGGUAUGGCUGUUCGCCAUUUAAAGUGGUACGCGAGCUGGGUUCAGAACGUCGUGAGACAGUUCGGUCCCUAUCUGCCAUGGGCGUUGGAAGUUUGAGAGGGGCUGCUCCUAGUACGAGAGGACCGGAGUGGACGAACCUCUGGUGUUCCGGUUGUCACGCCAGUGGCAUUGCCGGGUAGCUAUGUUCGGAAGCGAUAACCGCUGAAAGCAUCUAAGCGGGAAGCGCGCCUCAAGAUGAGACUUCCCGGGGCACAAGCCCCCUAAAGGAACCAUGUAGACUACGUGGUUGAUAGGUCAGGUGUGUAAGUACAGCAAUGUAUUGAGCUAACUGAUACUAAUGAUCCGUGCGGCUUGACCAUAUAACCU
Molecule: ribosomal RNA, 2897 nt
Filed under: Xanthomonas nasturtii
Lineage: Bacteria; Pseudomonadati; Pseudomonadota; Gammaproteobacteria; Lysobacterales; Lysobacteraceae
Description: bacterial LSU rRNA
Rfam family: Bacterial large subunit ribosomal RNA
Source: RNAcentral